GAUUCUCUUCGGAGAAGAGCGGCGGACGGGUGAGUAACGCGUGGGUAACCUGCCCUGUACACACGGAUAACAUACCGAAAGGUAUGCUAAUACGGGAUAAUAUGCUUUAGUCGCAUGGCUGAAGUAUCAAAGCUCCGGCGGUACAGGAUGGACCCGCGUCUGAUUAGCUAGUUGGUGAGGUAAUGGCUCACCAAGGCGACGAUCAGUAGCCGACCCGAGAGGGUGAUCGGCCACAUUGGAACUGAGACACGGUCCAAACUCCUACGGGAGGCAGCAGUGGGGAAUAUUGCACAAUGGGCGAAAGCCUGAUGCAGCAACGCCGCGUGAGCGAUGAAGGCCUUCGGGUCGUAAAGCUCUGUCCUCAAGGAAGAUAAUGACGGUACUUGAGGAGGAAGCCCCGGCUAACUACGUGCCAGCAGCCGCGGUAAUACGUAGGGGGCUAGCGUUAUCCGGAAUUACUGGGCGUAAAGGGUGCGUAGGUGGUUUCUUAAGUCAGAGGUGAAAGGCUACGGCUCAACCGUAGUAAGCCUUUGAAACUGAGAAACUUGAGUGCAGGAGAGGAGAGUAGAAUUCCUAGUGUAGCGGUGAAAUGCGUAGAUAUUAGGAGGAAUACCAGUUGCGAAGGCGGCUCUCUGGACUGUAACUGACACUGAGGCACGAAAGCGUGGGGAGCAAACAGGAUUAGAUACCCUGGUAGUCCACGCCGUAAACGAUGAGUACUAGCUGUCGGAGGUUACCCCCUUCGGUGGCGCAGCUAACGCAUUAAGUACUCCGCCUGGGAAGUACGCUCGCAAGAGUGAA
Molecule: ribosomal RNA, 801 nt
Filed under: uncultured bacterium
Lineage: Bacteria
Description: bacterial SSU rRNA
Rfam family: Bacterial small subunit ribosomal RNA
Source: RNAcentral